This 266-nucleotide signal recognition particle RNA is filed under the name Armatimonadota bacterium. RNAcentral's name for it is "Armatimonadetes bacterium (hot springs metagenome) signal recognition particle sRNA large type". It matches the Rfam family "Bacterial large signal recognition particle RNA". From Rfam's summary of the family: The signal recognition particle (SRP) is a universally conserved ribonucleoprotein involved in the co-translational targeting of proteins to membranes. Archaeal SRP consists of a 7S RNA and homologues of the eukaryotic SRP19 and SRP54 proteins. Lineage: Bacteria; Bacillati; Armatimonadota. The record is from RNAcentral.
UCGUGCUAGGCGGGGGGCUAGCGGUACCCUGUACCGGCAAUCCGCUACAGCCGGGCUGAAUUCCCGCCCAGAGGUGGCUCUGUUUGGGGUCUGACCCUUGUAAGUGGCGAUGAGGGCUGGGUCCCGCGCAAGGGAGCGCCGGUGAACCCCGCCAGGCCCGAAAGGGAGCAACGGUAGCUGGCUGCGACCUGUGCCGCGGGGGCGCCUGGCCGGAGCUGGCUGCAGGGGUAACGCCUGGGCAGGGCUUAUCGAAGGCGGGUGCACGG